Molecule: ribosomal RNA, 505 nt
Filed under: uncultured bacterium
Lineage: Bacteria
Description: partial 16S ribosomal RNA
Rfam family: Bacterial small subunit ribosomal RNA
Source: RNAcentral
GACGAACGCUGGCGGCGUGCCUAAUACAUGCAAGUCGAACGCACAGUUUAUACCGUAGCUUGCUACACCAUAGACUGUGAGUUGCGAACGCGUGAGUAACGCGUAGGUAACCUGCCUGGUAGCGGGGGCUAACUAUUGGAAACGAUAGCUAAUACCACAUAAUAUUCAUUAUUGCAUGAUAAUUAAUUGAAUUGUGCAAUUGCACCACUACCUUAUGGCUUUGCGUUGUAUUAGCUAGUAGGUGAGGUAACGGCUCCCCUAGGCGACGCUACAUAGCCGACCGGAGAGGGUGAUCGGACCCACUGGGACUGAGACACGGCACAGAUUCCUACGGGCGGCAGCAGUAGGGAAUCUUCGGCAAGAGUCGGAAGUCUGGCCGCACAACGCCGAGUGAGUGCCGACGGUUUCCGGAUCGUGAAGCUCUGUUGUACGCGAAGAAAGGGUGUGCGCGUGGAACGUACACUGUCCGACGGUAACUUACCAGAAAGGGACGGCUAACUACGUG